GAUGAACGCUGGCGGCGUGCCUAAUACAUGCAAGUCGAGCGAACAGAUGAGGAGCUUGCUCCUUUGACGUUAGCGGCGGACGGGUGAGUAACAUGUGGAUAACCUACCUAUAAUACUGGGAUAACUUCGGGAAACCGGAGCUAAUCCCGGAUAAUAUAUUGAACCGCAUGGUUCAAUAGUGAAAGUCGGUUUUGCUGUCACUUAUAGAUGGAUCCGCGCCGCAUUAGCUAGUUGGUAAGGUAACGGGUUACCAAGGCAACGAUGCGUAGCCGAACUGAGAGGGUGAUCGGCGACACGAGAGCUGAACCGCGGUCCAGACUCCUGAGAGAGGCCGCAGUAGGGAAUCUGCCGCAGUAGGCGAGAGCUUGGCGGAACGGGGCCACGCGAGAUGUGGAAAUCUUCGGAUCGGAAUACUGUGUUAUUAGGGAAGAACAAAUGUGUAAGUAACUAUGCACGGCUUGACGGUACCUAGUCAGAAAGCAACGGCUAACUACGUG
This 497-nucleotide ribosomal RNA is filed under the name uncultured bacterium. Its description in RNAcentral is "partial 16S ribosomal RNA". It matches the Rfam family "Bacterial small subunit ribosomal RNA", at positions 28 to 507 of the family's 1533-position model. The record is from RNAcentral.